GACGAACGCUGGCGGCGUGCUUAACACAUGCAAGUCGAACGAAGAGCGACGGAUGCUUGCUUCUCGCAAUCUUAGUGGCGUACGGGUGAGUAACGCGUAAUCAACCUGCCCUACAGUGGGGGACAAAAGUUGGAAACGACUGCUAAUACCGCAUACGAUCUAACCUCGGCAUCGAGGAUAGAUGCAAGGUGGCCUCUACACGUAUGCUCUCAUCUAAGGAGGGGAUUGCGUCUGAUUAGCUAGUUGGGGGGGCAAAGGGCCACCAAGGGGCGGCUCAGUAGCCGGUCUUAAAGGGUGGACGGCCAAAAUGGGACUGAGGCACGGCCCAGAAUACUGCGGGAGGGAACAGGUGGGAAUCUUUCGGAAAGGACGAAAGGCUGACGGAGCAACGCCGCGGGAAGGAUGACGGCCUUCGGGUUGGAAAACUCUUUUAAUCGGGACGGAAGGCCUUCUUGCGAAUAGUGGGAAAUAUUGACGGUACCGGAAUAGAAAGCCACGGCUAACUACGUG
RNAcentral lists this ribosomal RNA (510 nucleotides) under uncultured bacterium. RNAcentral describes it as "partial 16S ribosomal RNA". It matches the Rfam family "Bacterial small subunit ribosomal RNA", at positions 28 to 507 of the family's 1533-position model. The record is from RNAcentral.